AAAAAAGAAAACCAAAAAAUGGCAGAGCUGGUUCACGUCGUUGUGCGAGGCAAAGUCCCCACGCGUUGGUCGUGUCUACAUACACACACUCUCUCUCUCUCUCUUUACACAGCAAUACAAAACUCCAGAAAGGAACCUUUCUCCACUGUGAUCUCUCUAUCUCUCUCUUCUUUCCUCUGUCCUUCCCUCACGGCGUCAUAAGACUCGGUUUCUUCCAACUUCUUCCUUCUUUCUUCCUUCUUUCCUGCUUCUGUCUUUUCCUUCCUCCUUUGUUUUCUAUCAAACCAGACUCUCUACAGGAAUACCCACGGGUCAUUUACCUGUUUUGUUUUCCUUUUCGUCUUUGGAUUGGAAGCUCAAGCUAAUGGUAUGGUUACUUCUUAAUCGUUAGAGAAACGUACAGGAUAUUGGAAGAAAGAUAAAACAUUGCGUUUUUGUGGGUUGAAGAGGUGAGCCAAAAUGGGAAACUGUAUACAUUCUUCUGCAGCUAAAGUAGAUACUACGCAAAGCUCACAUACUCCUUCUGGAGCCUCAAGAGUUUCCAGCAAAACCAGCCGUUCUUCAGUUCCUUCUACUCUGACCAUCCCAUCUUACAGUGGAAGGAGCAAUUUUGAAUGUCUUCCUACUCCAAGGACUGAAGGUGAAAUAUUGUCAUCCCCAAAUUUAAAGGCCUUCACAUUCAAUGAACUAAAGAAUGCCACCAGAAACUUUCGUCCCGACAGUCUUCUAGGUGAAGGUGGUUUUGGUUAUGUUUUUAAAGGAUGGAUUGAUGAAAACACAAUGACUCCUGCAAAGCCUGGAUCUGGAAUGGUUAUAGCUGUCAAGAAGCUUAAACCUGAAGGUUUCCAGGGCCACAAGGAGUGGUUGACAGAAGUUAAUUAUCUUGGCCAACUUCAUCAUCCAAAUCUGGUCAAGCUGAUUGGUUACUGCUUGGAGGGUGAGAACCGGCUUUUGGCAUAUGAGUUUAUGCCGAAAGGGAGUUUAGAGAAUCAUCUAUUCAGAAGUAAGUAAUGAAUUCAAAUGAUAUGAUCUGACAAUCAUUUGGUCAAUAUUCUAUCCUGUUCUACUUUCUUAAUUCUAGGAGAUUCAAAAUCCUUGUGUAAUGAAAUCAGAGAAAUUUAAUAUCCUUCCUGUGCUGACAUUGUGGUAAUUUAAUAGUGCUACACUUUCCUUUCCCAAUAGAUAAAGUGUUGGUUGGAUCCCUGUUUUUUUUCUAUCUUAGACUGGUCAUUUGCUUUUAGUGAUGAUGCCACAUGGAACUGUGACAGCCUCUUCUGGAUAUAAGUGCACUCUUGCAAAAUUUAAUGCUUCUCUUGCUCUUCCCACCGUGUUUUUUCUUGUAUCUGCUCUUCUUGUGGUUAUUUUCAGUUGUCUAAUGUGUUCUUAGAUAGAUUUGGUAGCCAAUUAUGCCUCGGGAUAAGUUAUCGUGUUAGAAAAGAGGAUGAAUAAAGGCCAAUAAUUUUCAAAGUUGCCAGGAGAACAUCUUUACUUGUCUUAAUCAUUUCUAUUCCCAAAUAUCCUUACUUGAGUCUUGAUGAACGUUAAUUACCUUAGUGAUUUUAAACAAUAGAUGCUGCAGUGUCACACAUGCAGAUUUUGGAGGACUUCAUAAAAUACCUAAAAGUGAAUAAUUAUUGGUUUGCUCAAAAUUUUUUGUGAUGUUGAUUUCUACUUAUUGUUUAUUGUUUUUACUUCUCUUCCAAAGCUCUGAGCCAUACUAUUUUUUUCCUCAACAAGUGUUCAAGAUGAAUAGAAUGUGUAAUUCAUGGGUUUUUUAAGGCUUGGCAUGUGGGUAUAAGCAGGCUUGCAAAUGAAGUAUCUGAAAGUCAUGAAAAUACCUGUGCAUACAUCUGAGAACACUUGGUAAACUUUGGUAAAUUUUGUUCUCCUCUCUAUUUAGGAGGGCCUCAGCCGCUAUCAUGGGCAGUGCGAAUAAAAGUGGCCAUAGGUGCUGCCAGAGGGCUAUCUUUCCUUCAUGAUGCAAAAUCCCAAGUCAUAUACCGUGAUUUUAAGGCUUCUAAUAUUCUACUGGAUGCGGUAUGCUGAAUAAAAAGGGGAAUGGAAUUUAUUCGCUAUUUAUGAAUGAUGGAUUUUUUUUUCCCAUAAAGGUGAUAUUGGAUCUGAUAUAUUUCUGGUGAUGAUAAUGCAUUGGAUUUGUGCAUGCAGGAUUUCAAUGCAAAACUCUCUGAUUUUGGUUUGGCCAAGGCAGGCCCUACUGGCGAUAGAACUCAUGUGUCCACUCAAGUCAUGGGUACUCAUGGCUAUGCCGCACCGGAAUAUGUUGCUACAGGUAGGUUGACAGCCAAAAGUGAUGUAUACAGCUUUGGGGUUGUGUUACUUGAACUCCUGUCUGGAAGGCGUGCUGUUGAUAAAACAAAGGUUGGUGCGGAGCAGAAUCUGGUAGAAUGGGCAAAACCCUAUCUUGGUGACAAGAGAAGAUUAUUCCGGAUAAUGGACACCAAGUUGGGGGCACAGUAUCCUCAGAAAGGAGCCUAUAUGGCUGCUAACCUUGCCUUACAGUGUCUAAGCUCUGAAGCCAAAGCCAGGCCUCGAAUGUCUGAGGUGUUAGCAACAUUGGAGCAAAUAGAGUCCCCAAAAACUACAAAAUAUUCCCAGUCAGAGCUUCAAACUGUUCGGAAAUCCCCAAUGAGACAUCAUCAUUCUCCUCUUAAUCUAACACCAAGCGCAUCCCCAUUGCCAUCCCACCGGCCAUCUCCACGACUUCGUUGAUUAGAUCGUGUCUGUAAAUUUUACAUUCACUUGCAUAUGUUCUUGUAUAAGAUCUAAUUUGGGCGUGUAUCUCGCAGCAAUUUUGAUUCCUACUAAAACAGAUUAUCACCAUUGUCACCACCCGUACUCUGGAAGAUCUGUAGCUUUGUUUUCGGGGUAAUCUGCAUUUCAGUCAUGUAAUUGUAUCUGGUGUCAAUAGCCUUUUUGCUUGAUACAUGCAUUCUAAAGGAUGGCAAUUGUUCUCCGCCCCAACCGAUCUAUGCAGAUCAAUUUUUUUCGACCUCUCUGAUCUUGAUACAAUAAUUCUCCCUUGGAGGGAUUAUUG
RNAcentral lists this unclassified non-coding RNA (3055 nucleotides) under Hevea brasiliensis (rubber tree). The record is from RNAcentral. Lineage: Eukaryota; Viridiplantae; Streptophyta; Magnoliopsida; Malpighiales; Euphorbiaceae.